RNAcentral lists this ribosomal RNA (433 nucleotides) under uncultured bacterium. RNAcentral's name for it is "partial 16S ribosomal RNA". It matches the Rfam family "Bacterial small subunit ribosomal RNA", at positions 29 to 507 of the family's 1533-position model. The record is from RNAcentral.
AACGAACGCUGGCGGCAUGCCUAACACAUGCAGGUCGAACGAGACCUUCGGGUCUAGUGGCGCACGGGUGCGUAACGCGUGGGAACCUGCCCUUAGGUUCGGAAUAACUCCCCGAAAGGGGUGCUAAUACCGGAUAAUGUCUUCGGACCAAAGAUUUAUCGCCUUUGGAUGGGCCCGCGUUGGAUUAGCUAGUUGGUAGGGUAAAAGCCUACCAAGGCGACGAUCCACAGCUGGUCUGAGAGGAUGAUCAGCCACACUGGGACUGAGACACGGCCCAGACUCCUACGGGAGGCAGCAGUGGGGAAUAUUGGACAAUGGGCGAAAGCCUGAUCCAGCAAUGCCGCGUGAGUGAUGAAGGCCUUAGGGUUGUAAAGCUCUUUUACCCGGGAUGAUAAUGACAGUACCGGGAGAAUAAGCUCCGGCUAACUCCGUG